UGGGGAAUUUUCCGCAAUGGGCGAAAGCCUGACAGAGCAAUGCCGCGUGGAGGUGGAAGGCCUACGGGUCGUCAACUUCUUUUCUCGGAGAAGAAACAAUGACGGUAUCUGAGGAAUAAGCAUCGGCUAACUCUGUGCUAG
Molecule: ribosomal RNA, 141 nt
Filed under: uncultured bacterium
Lineage: Bacteria
Description: partial 16S rRNA
Rfam family: Bacterial small subunit ribosomal RNA
Source: RNAcentral